UGACCUCGGAUCAGGUAGGACUACCCGCUGAACUUAAGCAUAUCAAUAAGCGGAGGAAAAGAAACCAACAGGGAUUGCCCCAGUAACGGCGAGUGAAGCGGCAACAGCUCAAAUUUGAAAUCUGGCCUUCGGGUCCGAGUUGUAAUUUGGAGAGGAUGCUUCUGGCGCGGCGCCGUCCGAGUUCCUUGGAACAGGACGCCAUAGAGGGUGAGAGCCCCGUACGGGCGGCCGCCUAGCCUUUGUGAAGCUCCUUCGACGAGUCGAGUAGUUUGGGAAUGCUGCUCAAAAUGGGAGGUAAAUUUCUUCUAAAGCUAAAUACCGGCCAGAGACCGAUAGCGCACAAGUAGAGUGAUCGAAAGAUGAAAAGCACUUUGAAAAGAGGGUUAAAAAGUACGUGAAAUUGUUGAAAGGGAAGCGCCUGUGACCAGACUUGCGGCCCGCGGAUCAUCCGGUGUUCUUCACCGGUGCACUCCGCGGGCUGCAGGCCAGCAUCGGUUCUCCUGGGGGGACAAAGGUCGCGGGAACGUAGCUCUUUCGGGAGUGUUAUAGCCCGCGGCGUCAUGCCUUCGGGGGGACCGAGGACCGCGCUUCGGCAAGGAUGCUGGCGUAAUGGUCACCGGCGACCCGU
Molecule: ribosomal RNA, 628 nt
Filed under: Ophiostomataceae sp. 3PG4P-A2
Lineage: Eukaryota; Fungi; Ascomycota; Sordariomycetes; Ophiostomatales; Ophiostomataceae
Also listed under: 1 other name
Description: eukaryotic LSU rRNA
Rfam family: Eukaryotic large subunit ribosomal RNA
Source: RNAcentral